CAAGUCGAGCGGAACGAGUUAUCUGAACCUUCGGGGAACGAUAACGGCGUCGAGCGGCGGACGGGUGAGUAAUGCCUAGGAAAUUGCCCUGAUGUGGGGGAUAACCAUUGGAAACGAUGGCUAAUACCGCAUAAUGCCUACGGGCCAAAGAGGGGGACCUUCGGGCCUCUCGCGUCAGGAUAUGCCUAGGUGGGAUUAGCUAGUUGGUGAGGUAAGGGCUCACCAAGGCGACGAUCCCUAGCUGGUCUGAGAGGAUGAUCAGCCACACUGGAACUGAGACACGGUCCAGACUCCUACGGGAGGCAGCAGUGGGGAAUAUUGCACAAUGGGCGCAAGCCUGAUGCAGCCAUGCCGCGUGUGUGAAGAAGGCCUUCGGGUUGUAAAGCACUUUCAGUCGUGAGGAAGGUAGUGUAGUUAAUAGCUGCAUUAUUUGACGUUAGCGACAGAAGAAGCACCGGCUAACUCCGUGCCAGCAG
RNAcentral lists this ribosomal RNA (476 nucleotides) under bacterium BSD32-6-1. Its description in RNAcentral is "bacterial SSU rRNA". It matches the Rfam family "Bacterial small subunit ribosomal RNA", at positions 58 to 514 of the family's 1533-position model. The record is from RNAcentral.